UCAAACCUCCAGUCUGUCCCCAGACCGAUCCCCGGCCUCCAUCCGCCCACCGCCCCAGCCCUAACCACGUGCAGCCGAGGCCAUCUGGUGAAUAGUCUUUCCAGCGGAUGGAGUAGGGCGCCUGCGCGGUCUGUGGCCCAGCCAGCAAAGGGUCCAGCACAGAGCAGGAGUUCUGGACACAGAGGAACGUGGGACUGGAUUAAGGAAGGAAGCGUGUGCGUAAGAGAGGGAGCCAUCACGCACCUGGCCUGGGGGCGGGUUGCCGCCAAUGAAGUUGAUGGAUUGAAGCUCCAGGUCCCCAUCCACCUGCAGGGAGAAGACGCCGGGGUGAAGGGUCAGCGUGAAGAUGAAGACGACCAAGAGUCAGGGAUGCACAUAAAUAGCCCGAGGGUCAGGUUGGGAGCAAAUCAGGCUUCAGGGUGAGUAUUGGCUAAGUCAGACCCCAGGGUAAGGGGGGGUGCUUCUCAGGAUCAGGGUGAGAGUAAAUUGGUGUGUGAGGUUCAGGAUGGAGCUAUGCUGGGACCCAUGGUUGGGUCCUGGGUCACCAUCUUACCGGAUUGUAAGUGGGCUGGUAGCCAGGUGCAGGGACAUAGGCCAUCUUGAGAGGCUGGGCUGGUGGCUCGUCCCGGAAGAGAUGCAGCAGUGGGCAAUGUCGGCAGAUAGCAGGUGGUGGGUGGCUCUUAUACCUGAGGGAAAGGGAGUGGCUGGCAGGGCAGGGUCCAUGGGUUCCUCUUCUGGGCAUCCGAGGCUCACAUCUUUUUCUAGGGCAGCCGCUUGUGUCCUUUCUGUUGUUAGCCUUCCUGGCCACCAGCUAGAACCCAGAUCCUCUCAGCUAGGCUGGGAGGUGGGGGCGGCUGGGGGAAGGGGGCUACACUUUAGCUCUUUCUGCAAAGGGAAGUGCUAGUGAACUUUGGCCCUGCCAGGGCCUUAUCAGAGCCCAUAAAAUCCUGCCCAGGCCUUUGUUAACAGAGGGAGGGUACGACCAGGAGGGCUGGGCAGGGCAAGGUUGCAGGAGUGGCCCAUGACAGAUGGGCAAAGGAAGUGAAAGCGGGGAAGGACGGGUGCUCUGGACAGCCCUAGGAACUGGGAAAGGGACUACACUUAUUGCAUGCCCACUACAUGCCCAAUCCAUGUACAUUAGAUUGUAGGUAUAGUCGUUUAGGCCAUAAUUUCUAGAGCCAGAGGUUCUGGGUUCAAAUCUUGCCUUGACCGCUUCCUGACUGUUCCAUCUUGGCUCAGUACCUUAGCCUCAAUUUCCCCAUUUGCCCUUCUGAAAAAUGGGGAUUCUAGUAGUAUCAACGUCAUAGAAGCCUGGAAAGGAAUCACUAAGAUAAUAAAUGCGCAGAACAGGACUUGGCAUACAGAAGGCACUAAAUUAAUCCUUGGCCUCUUGCACGCAUUCCAAACAUAAACCCAGGAGGUUCGGAUUAUAUAUGGACAUGAAAACCUGAAAUCUAAAGAGAAGAGGCAGGGGUGACUGGCUGGCUCAGCUGGUAGAGCACGUAAGCCCUUAAUCUCAGGGUGGUGAGUUCAAGCCCCACCUUGAGCCUGGAGCCUACUUAAAAAAGAAAAGAAAAAGAAAUGAGGCAGUUGGCCCAAGACUGGGUAGCAGCGGAACUCCAGCCAGACUCGGGCGUCAGCUCACACCAGGCUGUGCAAUGAGUGGAUGCCAGGCAGGGUGAACACCGCCCUCACGCCUGGAGCAGGCAGGGAGACCAUCUGGAGCCUUCCGGCUGGGAGGCAGCUGCCAGACUUUUUUAUAGGCCCUGGCACGUCCACCGCCAGCGCUGAAUGGCAUCACCUGCACGGCUCCCGUGCUCAUUGGUCAAAUCUCCAUCCCCAACCUUCUGCGCAGCUGCGGUCCUGGGACACCCCCAGGGACGUCGCAGCUCCUUUCUGCCUCUGCUCUUUUCAAUGAAGACACCAGCUUCGUUAAGCUGCUUUAUUGUUAAGUUGCUUUAUUGUUCGGGUGAAGAUAAGGCCCUGGGCAUGAGGAAAUCAGAGUUAGGUUAGAAACUGGGAGAUCAAGGGAGAAGGCACCAGGCGACCAUCUUUACUAACUCUCCCUCUCUGGGGAUGAGGAAAUGGGCGUGAGGUGGGAGGCAGCCAGACCCUGGGCCUCGGUGGCUCUCAGAGCUUGGAGAAGGUGAC
Molecule: long non-coding RNA, 2151 nt
Organism: Mustela erminea (ermine)
Lineage: Eukaryota; Metazoa; Chordata; Mammalia; Carnivora; Mustelidae
Exons: 2
Source: RefSeq, a predicted model, not a curated record